Molecule: ribosomal RNA, 734 nt
Filed under: uncultured Cellulosimicrobium sp.
Lineage: Bacteria; Bacillati; Actinomycetota; Actinomycetes; Micrococcales; Promicromonosporaceae
Description: bacterial SSU rRNA
Rfam family: Bacterial small subunit ribosomal RNA
Source: RNAcentral
GACGAACGCUGGCGGCGUGCUUAACACAUGCAAGUCGAACGAUGAUGCCCAGCUUGCUGGGCGGAUUAGUGGCGAACGGGUGAGUAACACGUGAGUAACCUGCCCUUGACUUCGGGAUAACUCCGGGAAACCGGGGCUAAUACCGGAUAUGAGCCGUCCUCGCAUGGGGGUGGUUGGAAAGUUUUUCGGUCAGGGAUGGGCUCGCGGCCUAUCAGCUUGUUGGUGGGGUGAUGGCCUACCAAGGCGACGACGGGUAGCCGGCCUGAGAGGGCGACCGGCCACACUGGGACUGAGACACGGCCCAGACUCCUACGGGAGGCAGCAGUGGGGAAUAUUGCACAAUGGGCGAAAGCCUGAUGCAGCGACGCCGCGUGAGGGAUGAAGGCCUUCGGGUUGUAAACCUCUUUCAGCAGGGAAGAAGCGCAAGUGACGGUACCUGCAGAAGAAGCGCCGGCUAACUACGUGCCAGCAGCCGCGGUAAUACGUAGGGCGCAAGCGUUGUCCGGAAUUAUUGGGCGUAAAGAGCUCGUAGGCGGUUUGUCGCGUCUGGUGUGAAAACUCGAGGCUCAACCUCGAGCUUGCAUCGGGUACGGGCAGACUAGAGUGCGGUAGGGGAGACUGGAAUUCCUGGUGUAGCGGUGGAAUGCGCAGAUAUCAGGAGGAACACCGAUGGCGAAGGCAGGUCUCUGGGCCGCAACUGACGCUGAGGAGCGAAAGCAUGGGGAGCGAACAGG